GACGUAGGGGGCGAGCGUUACCCCGGAAUCACUGGGCGUAAAGGGUGUGUAGGCGGCUUCAUCAGUCGUGGGUGCAAGCCAUGGGCUCAACCCAAGGAACGCUCACGAGACGGUGAGGCUUGAGGGCAGCAGAGGCGGGUGGAAUUCCCGGAGUAGCGGUGGAAUGCGUAGAGAUCGGGAGGAACGCCAGAGGCGUAAGCGACCCGCUGGGCUGUUCCUGACGCUGAGGCACGAAAGCGUGGGGAGCAAACAGGAUUAGAAACCCCCGU
This 269-nucleotide ribosomal RNA is filed under the name uncultured bacterium. RNAcentral's name for it is "partial 16S ribosomal RNA". It matches the Rfam family "Bacterial small subunit ribosomal RNA", at positions 524 to 791 of the family's 1533-position model. The record is from RNAcentral.